This 397-nucleotide ribosomal RNA is filed under the name uncultured bacterium. Its description in RNAcentral is "partial 16S ribosomal RNA". It matches the Rfam family "Bacterial small subunit ribosomal RNA", at positions 523 to 918 of the family's 1533-position model. The record is from RNAcentral.
AUACGUAGGUGACAAGCGUUAUCCGGAUUUACUGGGCGUAAAGGGCGUGUAGGCGGUCUUGCAAGUCAGAAGUGAAAUUCCUGAGCUCAACUCGGGCGCUGCUUCUGAAACUGCAGGACUUGAGUGCUGGAGGGGAUAGCGGAAUUCCUAGUGGAGCGGUAAAAUGCGCAGAUAUUAGGAAGAACACCGGUGGCGAAGGCGGCUAUCUGGACAGUAACUGACGCUGAGGCGCGAAAGCGUGGGGAGCAAACAGGAUUAGAUACCCCGGUAGUCCACGCUGUAAACGAUGAAUACUAGGUGUAGGGGGUAUCGACUCCCUCUGUGCCGCAGUUAACACAAUAAGUAUUCCGCCUGGGGAGUACGGCCGCAAGGUUGAAACUCAAAUGAAUUGACGGGG